Molecule: non-coding RNA, 74 nt
Organism: Caligus rogercresseyi
Lineage: Eukaryota; Metazoa; Arthropoda; Copepoda; Siphonostomatoida; Caligidae
Source: the annotation of a GenBank genome assembly
UUCCCCUCUCGGGAUUUGAACCUGCGCCAUCAACAUUGAGAGUUGAACAUGCUCUACCAAUCUGAGCUAUCGGA